GGUAUAGGCAUGUGCUUCUUUAGAACUGAAUUACCAGCCACCCGUGACGUUCAUCGUCGUACAAAAACGACAUCACACCCAACUGUUUGCCAACAACCAUAGAGACAGAAGUAGCACAGACAGGAGUGGAAACAUUUUACCUGGCACCGUAGUCGACUCCAAAAUAUGCCACCCGACAGAAUUUGAUUUCUAUCUUUGUAGCCAUGCUGGAAUUCAGGGGACAAGCCGACCAGCUCAUUACCAUGUUCUUUGGGAUGAAAACAAUUUUACAGCAGAUGGGAUUCAGUCCUUAACCAAUAAUCUUUGCUACACGUAUGCAAGGUGUACGCGUUCGGUUUCUAUCGUCCCUCCAGCAUACUAUGCACAUUUAGCAGCAUUCCGAGCUCGAUUCUACAUGGAACCAGAGAUGCAAGAGAAUGGCACGAGCGGUGGUUCUGCUAAGAGUGCGACCGGGGUUCGCCCUUUGCCAGCUCUAAAGGAAAAUGUGAAGAGAGUAAUGUUUUACUGUUAGAAAUCGGAACCACCAAGCAAAGGGGAGGCUCGUAGUCGGAGCGAUGACCGG
Molecule: non-coding RNA, 562 nt
Organism: Cucurbita pepo subsp. pepo (vegetable marrow)
Lineage: Eukaryota; Viridiplantae; Streptophyta; Magnoliopsida; Cucurbitales; Cucurbitaceae
Source: RefSeq, a predicted model, not a curated record